CAGCAGCCGCGGGAAUACGUAGGUCCCGAGCGUUGUCCGGAUUUAUCGGGCGUAAAGCGAGCGCAGGCGGUUAGAUAAGUCUGAAGUUAAAGGCUGUGGCUUAACCAUAGUACGCUUUGGAAACUGUUUAACUUGAGUGCAAGAGGGGAGAGUGGAAUUCCAUGUGUAGCGGUGAAAUGCGUAGAUAUAUGGAGGAACACCGGUGGCGAAAGCGGCUCUCUGGCUUGUAACUGACGCUGAGGCUCGAAAGCGUGGGGAGCAAACAGGAUUAGAUACCCCCGUAGUCCCUGUCUCUUAUACA
This 301-nucleotide ribosomal RNA is filed under the name uncultured bacterium. RNAcentral describes it as "partial 16S ribosomal RNA". It matches the Rfam family "Bacterial small subunit ribosomal RNA", at positions 509 to 808 of the family's 1533-position model. The record is from RNAcentral.